Molecule: ribosomal RNA, 502 nt
Filed under: uncultured bacterium
Lineage: Bacteria
Description: partial 16S ribosomal RNA
Rfam family: Bacterial small subunit ribosomal RNA
Source: RNAcentral
GACGAACGCUGGCGGCGUGCUUAACACAUGCAAGUCGAACGGUGAAGGGGUCUGCUUUUGUGGGCCCUGGAUGAGUGGCGAACGGGUGAGUAACACGUGAGUAACCUGCCCCCUUCUUCUGGAUAACCGCAUGAAAGUGUGGCUAAUACGGGAUAUUCUGGGUCUGUCGCAUGAUGGGUCUGGGAAAGAUUGCGCCUUUGGGUGUUUUUGGUGGGGGAUGGGCUCGCGGCCUAUCAGCUUGUUGGUGGGGUGAUGGCCUACCAAGGCGGUGACGGGUAGCCGGCCUGAGAGGGUGGACGGUCACACUGGGACUGAGACACGGCCCAGACUCCUACGGGAGGCAGCAGUGGGGAAUAUUGCACAAUGGGCGCAAGCCUGAUGCAGCGACGCCGCGUGAGGGAUGGAGGCCUUCGGGUUGUAAACCUCUUUCGCCAGUGAAGCAGGCCUGCUCCUUGUGGGUGGGUUGACGGUAGCUGGAUAAGAAGCGCCGGCUAACUACGUG